ACCUAAUGAUUAAUAGAUAAGUUCUUUAAAAUUAAAAAAUUUGGCGGUAUUUUAGUCUAUUCAGAGGAACCUGUUCUGUAAUUGAUAGUCCACGAUUAAAAAUACUUUUGUUUUAAAUUUACAUAUCGUUGUAGUUAGAAUAUUUUAUAAGAAAAUGGAAUGUUCAAUAUGUUAAUAAUAAGAAAAAUUAUUAAAAAUUAAAAUUUAAAUCAAAUCAAGGUGUAGUUGAUAUUGAAGUAGAAAUGGGUUACAUUUAUUAAAUAAUUUAGGAUAAUUUUUUUAAAAAAGGUUAGAAUUUGGAUUUGAUAGUAAUUUUAUUUAUU
RNAcentral lists this ribosomal RNA (323 nucleotides) under Caryedon immaculatum. RNAcentral's name for it is "partial 12S ribosomal RNA". The record is from RNAcentral. Lineage: Eukaryota; Metazoa; Arthropoda; Insecta; Coleoptera; Chrysomelidae.